GUGAGGAAUAUUGCGCAAUGGAGGCAACUCUGACCCAGCCAUGCCGCGUGCAGGAAGACGGUCCUCUGGAUUGUAAACUGCUUUUGAAUGGGAAGAACAUACGGUUUGCGAACCGUACUGACGGUACUAUUAGAAUAAGCACCGGCUAACUCCGUGCCAGCAGCCGCGGUAAUACGGAGGGUGCAAGCGUUAUCCGGAUUUAUUGGGUUUAAAGGGUGCGUAGGCGGCCUUAUAAGUCGGUGGUUAAAGGUAGCAGCUUAACUGUUUUACAUGCCAUCGAUACUGUAGGGCUUGAGUGAUUUGGAGGUAGCUAGAAUUCCCUGUGUAGCGGUGAAAUGCAUAGAUACGGGGAGGAAUACCGAUUGCGAAGGCAUGUUACUACGAAUUAACUGACGCUGAGGCACGAAAGCGUGGGGAUCAAACAGGAUUAGAAACCCUGGUAGUCC
This 446-nucleotide ribosomal RNA is filed under the name uncultured bacterium. RNAcentral's name for it is "partial 16S ribosomal RNA". It matches the Rfam family "Bacterial small subunit ribosomal RNA", at positions 354 to 796 of the family's 1533-position model. The record is from RNAcentral.